CUCUUAUCCAGAGAGGCGGAGGGACUGGCCCGACGAUGCCCGGCAACCGGUUUAACAACACGGUGCUAAUUCCAGCAGAGCAAAGUCUCUGGCCGAUAAGAA
Molecule: non-coding RNA, 102 nt
Filed under: Bacillus sp. (in: firmicutes)
Lineage: Bacteria; Bacillati; Bacillota; Bacilli; Caryophanales; Bacillaceae
Also listed under: 1 other name
Description: Bacillus sp. SAM-I sequence
Rfam family: SAM riboswitch aptamer (S box leader)
About the family: The SAM riboswitch is found upstream of a number of genes which code for proteins involved in methionine or cysteine biosynthesis in Gram-positive bacteria.
Source: RNAcentral